Molecule: ribosomal RNA, 385 nt
Filed under: uncultured bacterium
Lineage: Bacteria
Description: bacterial SSU rRNA
Rfam family: Archaeal small subunit ribosomal RNA
Source: RNAcentral
AAUAGAUACCCAGGUAGUCCCAGCCGUAAACGAUGCUCGCUAGGUGUCAGGCAUGGCGCGACCGUGUCUGGUGCCGCAGGGAAGCCGUGAAGCGAGCCACCUGGGAAGUACGGCCGCAAGGCUGAAACUUAAAGGAAUUGGCGGGGGAGCACAACAACGGGUGGAGCCUGCGGUUUAAUUGGACUCAACGCCGGACAACUCACCGGGGACGACAGCAAUAUGUAGGCCAGGCUAAAGACCUUGCCUGAAUCGCUGAGAGGAGGUGCAUGGCCGUCGCCAGUUCGUACUGUGAAGCAUCCUGUUAAGUCAGGCAACGAGCGAGACCCGUGCCCACUGUUACCAGCAUGUCCUCCGGGACGAUGGGUACUCUGUGGGGACCGCCCGU